Long non-coding RNA from Thalassophryne amazonica, 589 nucleotides. RefSeq lists it as uncharacterized. The record is from RefSeq and is a predicted model, not a curated record. The transcript has 3 exons. Lineage: Eukaryota; Metazoa; Chordata; Actinopteri; Batrachoidiformes; Batrachoididae.
UGUUCUGUGAUGUAGUUGACCAGACAAAGUGCAGCUCGCAGCAGACUGCGCUCAGCUGUGAUUGUUCGUGGCACAUUUGUCUAAUUUUUUUUUACCAACAAGGUGACGAUGAUCAAACUUUAACAAGUAUCAAGCAUUUCUUCAGCUGGACUGAACCUCUGAGUUGUGUGAAAGCAUCAUCUGGGUCCAGAUAAAAAAAAAAAAUCUAAACCAAGGAGGCUUGAUGUGUUAUUCCACAGUAUCAGUUCCAUCAGUGCAGUAACUUCAUGGUGACGGUGCUGCUGGUUUGUCUUCACUCUGACAAAUGUUGUUCUUCAUAUUAUUUGCUUCCUUGCAGACAUGUUGCAUCAGUUGGUGAUUAAAGAAGAAAUGCUCCCUGAACAACAGGAGUUGAGUCUGAGUGAUGACCAAAAGGACGUUAAACAGGAACAAGAGGAAGUCUGGACAAGUAACGAGGGACAGCAGCUUCACUGGCUGGACACUGAGAAGACCAAGUUCCGUUUUGCUCGUGUCCCUGUGAAGACUGAAAAUGAUGAUGAAAUACCACAGUCAUCACAGGUUCUUCAAAACUCAGUGAUCAGCACUGAGG